Molecule: long non-coding RNA, 1326 nt
Filed under: Olea europaea subsp. europaea
Lineage: Eukaryota; Viridiplantae; Streptophyta; Magnoliopsida; Lamiales; Oleaceae
Source: RNAcentral
CCGGAAUUUUCCUUAUUUGUUUAGAUUUUUAUUCUUUCCAUAUUAUUGUAAUCUUGGACAAGUUAUGCACAAAUUUACUAGAUUUUCUAGGUAUUUGAGUCUAGUAUAAAUAUAGAUUAUUUUCUUUCAUUGGAGGUUAGACACUUUAUACAUUAAUUUGAGAGAAUUUUAAUAGAGACUAUUGUGCUUUCUUCUCCAUUCUUCAUUGACAAUUGGAACUUAACAAGGAUUGUAAUUCUUGUGGCGUUCUACAACUCGGGUGCGAGUCUUGGAUUGUGUAAUCAAGGGGUCCUUCAAGCAAUGAUCAUGCUGGGUUUGUUGGUUCACUAAUUUGGGGUUCAAUCUCUAAACCUCUAAUUUGGCAUUUUGGAUUUUGGAACAAUCUUGCUGUGUGUUUCGUAGUCAACUUUGCUACGGGGUUCACAACAUCACAACUCUGCUCUUUGAUUCCCAUCAAGUGUCACCAACACCCUUCUUCUUUUUCCUGCGCAUAUAUGUAUAACGAAUUGAUGGUCUAUCAACAUCCUCUCCCUUAUUGUCUCCACUGUCAAACUUGACCGUAUUGCUUAAAUUUCGAAGUGAUUCAUAGAACCUUGAGUUUGAAUGUCAUGCUGACUCCUGACAUUUCUCCUCUUGUUAAGUCAUUCUUGGAAAUAGUGCUGGCUUUAUACCUCCUUACUAGGUCAAGCUUUCACCUCAUGGUCCAUCUGAUUCUUUGUUGCCCAGUUAUAUCCAAGACUAGGCUCCUCAUUUAAAAACGAAUUUUUUUGUCCUGUAUAAUUCUCUGUUUCAUUCUGAAGUUUCGAAACACAAACAUCUUUAGAACUACCCAAUUCUUCAUAUUUAAUCACCAUGGGUACACCAUUUUUCUCAACCUCAAGCAUAUAGGACUUCUCAUAGAGUUUGAGUCUACCCAAAAAAAGUUCAUAUUGAGGAUCAACAACACUAUUCUUCUCACUCUUCUUGCCAACACCGUUAGGUGUGUCUCUUUUUCUCUUAAGUGUUUUAAAUUUUUCCGUCUCACUUAUACCAGUGAGAAUAAACCACUUGUAAUCCUUAUUCAUAUCUGAUAUUUCCUUGAGUUGUUGUUGACGUUCAUACCAUCCAUUGCAUGUCUAAACCAUUCUUAGUCUUUGGCCUCCUAGAAAGCAUUAAAUAAUUCAAAAUAUCAAACCUAUUGAGAUCCUUUUGCUACAAAUUAUAUCACUUAAUAUGCUGAACAAAAUGUUGAGUAAUUUUCUCCGUUAUUGCAUCCUUAGAAAAAUAAAAUUGAACCCGUUCAGUUGUGCAUUGUUUCCAGAACCCUUCCGGAGCUGCAAAAAGUAA